UCUCUUUCUCUCUCUCUCUCUCUCUCUCUCUCUCUCUCUCUCUCUCUCUCUCUCUCUCUCCCUCUCUCCCUCCUUCGUCACUCCAAAGAAAUAACUCUCUUCGGAGCCAACGUAAGAAAGAAUCUUAAAAAUCGGAAAAUUGGUGAUCGUUUUUUAUUCUCAAAGAUACGGACAAAAAGUUGUUGUAGGUGUUCUCGGACUCAGCAGUGAGAGCCGUGUUCCCCCAGCUGUAACGUGCUUUGUUUUAGUGGCUCUGGGAUCAUGGAAGACACUGCGCGAGUACCGAACGUUCUGCGAUAUAUUGUACAAAUAUUUUAUCCUUCUAAGAUCAUGGACUCUUGCUAGUUUCCUCGAUGAUUAACAAAAGAUCCAAAAAGAAAAAGAAAGAAAGGAAGAUUUUUGAGGAUCGUCAUAAAUACUUCGUCGUUGAUGAUACGUGCCUCACGAAGUAGGACGUUUCAUCGAUUAGAUUUCUCCUAAUCGUUCUUUAUGUCAUGCAAUCGAAAUUUCAUAUGUGUGAUAUGAGAAACUGAAAAUGUAAAUAUAUCCAUACUCAUCGUGAGCAAACGUAUACGUGAUUAAAUCAAAGUCCAAAACGUUUGGAAAUUUUUGGUGUCGUUGGCAAUAUUGCACCUGCCACACGAAAUAUUGCCGAUGGCUCGAAACAACGGCACGGCAACAGCAUCGAGCAAGAACGGACCGCUUUUGCUGGUAUUAUAAUCGCCGUUGCAAGAUUCCCGACUAAACCGCCGUUCACCUCGACCAUUUUAUACUUUCUAAAGCCGCUUACUUUCGUAACUUGGCAAAUACCGUGGUGGCCUCGUUGUAUCUACCAUUGCCGAGUUCUACACAGUUAGCAUUUAUAUGUGUGUCCAAGUUGAAGUUUUCUUUCCCUUACUCUAUACUAGCAUACAGUAAUGCAUAAUUAAUAUGCGUAAUACAUACGUAUACGAAGAAUUUGUUUUUCUUUUUUUCAUUUGUCGUUUCUUUUUUCUAUCUGUUUAAACAUUUUUUUCUACUUUUCUCUUCUUUUUUGUUUUUUUUUCUUUCUUUCUUUUUUUUUUUUUUUUUUUUUUUUAAGGAAAAUCUAAAGUUGCAUCGUUAUUAACUUUUUUCCUCGAACGAUAGAUCAUCUGCGCUUAUUCAUAUCUCUUGCGCAAUGACUAUUGCGCUGUUGUAAUAUCACUUAACAAAGUACAUACGUUUCAAGAAUUCAUUUCAUCGAGAUAAUUGCAAUUAAAAUGAUGAUUGUCAGAGAGAAGAGAAGGAGGAGGAGAAAAAAAAAGAAGAAGAAGAAGAUAUAUGUAUCUACGUAAUUUUGUACAAUUCCAAGAAUAAUUGCAGUAGUUUAUAAUCGAUGACAUAGCAAACGUUUCUAAGAUAAUAACGAUCAUAUAAAAGUUACUUUAUAUAAAAGUAUUAAAUGAUAAAAGAAUUGAUAACGAUUAAAGUGGCGGGUAACUUUAUCUUAAUAGAAAAGAGAGAGAGAGAGAGAGAGAGAGAUGAGAGGCUAACAGGACUAUGGAGGUAAGUUUGGAAAGUUACGGUUCGUCGUGAAUAAAAAAAAAUCAAACGAGGCGGAGAGAAAGAUAGAAGUGUGUUAUGUAUCUACGUGCAUAUACAUGAGAAAUAGAGAGAGAGAAUGUGUAUACAAGUAGAAAAGGGAAGUGGGACUAGCUUGCCUUGUACUACUUUCUUGCGCAGUUACAGGAACAGCGAUAGGCAUCGACUCUUAGCGCAAGAACUUACUUAGAUAUAAAUUCUAAGAUGAAUUAGAUUAAUCUAUGACGUAUAUUUUUAUAUUAUCAAAACUAUGAGAGAUAAUUGAAAAUAUUAAAAACAAUAAUAAAAAAGAAAAGAAAAAAAGAAAUAUGUAAAUAUAUAAGUCAACGUUGAAUGAUAGAUACGAGUUAAAAUUACUCUUAAAAUGCAUCAUUUUUUUUUCCAUACGUUUAGAAAAAAAAAUCGUUAAAGAACCAUAAAAUGCAUUGAUCGAUUAGAUUAUUGAUAUAUAUAUAUAUAUAUAAUAUAUACAUAAUUAUUUGAAUCCUAUUAAUUCCGAUCAUAUUUAAUAUCUUAACAAGCUUAAUUGUACUUCGUUUAAUAAUCCAAUAAUCCUUGUAUUAACGUUUGCGGUUAUAAUUAACUAUAAAGGUAUUCUUAUACUUAAAACUAAAAAUGUGAUAUGUAAACUUUUCUUACGUACAUAUAUAUAUAUAUAUAUAUAUAUAUAUAUAUACAUGCACACACACGAUAUGUAAGUAGAAUCACAUUCGUGAUCUUUGCUGAACGAACGAGGGAACGAGCGCGUGCGGGUGGCCUAGCGCCAUUUUAUAGAAGGCCUCAGUUUGCGGCCAUCUUUCGCGUAACAACUCCAAAUGUUUCCGCCUUCGUUCGUUUCAGCUUGCGUCUCUACGCUCUCCACCACGUACAUAUGUAGUAGAUUUCGUUUUAUCCGGCAUGUCUAAUUUUACACGGUGACCUCGAAACCGUACUUCGUCCGAAACCCACGUUCCUCUCCUCGUACUUGAAAUCGAAAAGAAAAAAAAAAAGAAAAAGAAAGAAAAAAGAACAUGAAACGAAAUGAAUGAAGAAUCUCUUCGGAAGAAGGAGAGAGAGAGAAAGAGAGAGAAAAUAUAUAAGUAUAUCUAAAGUUUGAAAAUUGUAUAUAAGAUUGUUGAAAUAAAUCAAUUUUUACUCGUGCUCCAUGGCGACUUAAAAUUUUUCUCUUCCUUGUCAAGAUUUACACAAACGACCUUUCUUCAUUCACAUUUUACCAAGUUAAACGUUUAUUUAUCUUCAGCUUCAUCCGGUCGCACGUUACAAGGUCAUCUAUAUACUUCCGCCUGUUUGAUAUAAUAAUCGAGUAUAAAAGUGAAACAUAUUUUGUAAGAACAUCUAAAUAGAUUUUGGAUGGAAUAAAAUUCCAAUUUUACGACUAAUAUAUUAUUAAUAUCAAAACUCGGCGAUUUGUUCGUUUUCUUUGCAACAAAAUGACUACUCGAGGUCCCCUUUUUUCCUUUUUUUUUUUUUUUCUCUUUUUUUUCCAUGUACGAAAAUAUUCAAAGCACCCCCCUUACGAGAGUAUAUCUUCUUUCUUUCUUUCGUUCCUUUACAUUUAUCAAACGGGAGAUAAGUUCGUCGGUUCAAGGUUAAAGGUUUCACCUGCCUAAUGGGAGAAGAGUAAAAAGAGGAAGAGGGGGGGACGAUGGAGUUAUGAGUCGAAUUGGUUUUUUUGGGGUGAGAUUCUAGGCGUCGACGCCAAUGCCGUGGAUGACAUCAUUGCGAAACGGUCGUUUCGUUCGUGGGGCCGUGUUGGUGGAGGAGGAUGACGAUGAAGAGGAAGAAGAGGAGGAGGUGGAGGAGGAGAAGAACGGCGGGUGGAGGGGGGAGGAGUGGUAAAGUCUGCGGAUGAUUCGUGAGAGGUGAAGAGAGCCGGGAGGCCUUGCGAGAACUAUGCGAAAAGAGGAAGAGGAUGGGUGGAAGGAGGAAUGAGAUGCGCGCACGAUGACUAGAAAGAGAAGGAGUGAGAUAGACAGAGGAGGAGAAAGAAGAGGAGGAGGAGGUGGCGGCGAAGAAGAAGAAGGGGGUAAGGGAGGAAGCAUGUCUAUAUAUCAGUGUGUCUAUAUGGGUGCUGUUUGUUGCGCGAUUGCGCGUACCUAACCAACGAAGCAAGCUUCACGUGUGUGUGUAAGGAAAGGUGGUGGAAGCGAGAAAGACGAGAUUAUAGAUGGGAGAGAAGAGUAGGGGAGGCGGAAAGGGUUGGGGAGAGGGAAGAGAGCAUGAUAUAAGCAUGCCGUGGUCAAUCCGCGUAGUGGGGCGAAGCGGGCAACCAGGCCUUGAAGAAGGAAAAGAGAACAAAAGCGCACGCUCUGCGACUAUGCGCUGCGUAGCGCGCGUUUCUGUAAGAGUGUGUGUAAAAGAGAGAGAGAGAGAGAGAGAGAGAGAGAGAGAGAGAGGGAGAGAGAGAGACAGAUCUUCGCGAGAGCUCUGAGGAAGACCAAGAGAACUAUGGAUGCCUGAACGGAAUAUUCCGUUCGGAGGGUGGAACGUUUCUCUCGCUUAUGUAGUAGGAAUUAUAUCAUAGUGGUAGUGAACGUAGAAGAGGAAGAAGAAUGAGAAACAUCGCGACGUAAAGGCCAAGCAGGACGUUCAUCGUCGUCGUCGUCGUCGUCGUCGUGUCGCCGUCGUAGUUAUCGUAGUCGUCGUCAUCGUCGUUGUCAUGGUUAUCGCUGAACGUACGUAUGUACGUAUCUACAUACAAUGCGUAUGUACAACACGAGAACGUUCGUACUAUGCGUAGAACAGACCGCGUUGCGUAAUCGCGACGAUAUCAAUUAUUAAGCAUAGUCUUUGCUUCGAACUAAGUGAGACACCAGUGGCGACUUUCUGGCCACGUUUUGUAAUGCCUAAAUUCGAUUACUUAUUCCUUUCGAUUUCUUCUUAACUAGAGGCCAUUUUUUUCUUUCAUUUUUCUUCUUCUAUUUUCUUCUCUUUCUCUCUCUCUUUUUUUUUUUUUUAACUCUGCAAACGAUGGCUCGCUCGCUCGCUCGUUCAUUAGUUCGUCCUCACACGAUCUAUCCUCUGGGUAUUACUUUUUUCCUUUUUUCUUUUUUUCUUUUUGGCUUCUUUUUCCUCCCACUUGUUUUUCCUUUUUUCUUCUUUUAACUUUUUAUCAGUAGAUUCACGCUUUUCCGCACCGCAUCGCACGCUAUCGCGCUGCAUUAACCCGCAAAGCCGGACGACAACGGCUACUACAUCGGCACCGCAAGCUAUCGCGGUUUUAUUCUUUCUUUCCUCUCUUACGUACGAAUUUAGAAUCGUACACUUGCCGAGAUAAAUACUACGUAUGGAAAGAGGAAGUUUGGCGGAACGAUUUUUUGUAGAUGAAAAAAAAGAAAAAGAGAGAUAGAGAGGAUAGGACAAUAAUCUUGAGCGAUAAACGGCAAAAGAAUCAGAGUUUACGUGAACACUGGAGCAGGGCUUUAGAAAAAUCAUACAUACAUAUAUGCGUAUAGGUGGUUUGAACGUUCCCCGAAGAUCUUCAAUGUUAAUCUUUCAUUUUUGAUCGUUUCACCUUUUUCUAAAUUCCAAAAGGGAAAUAAUGUUUAGUUUAUUUCGAGGAGUAUUAAAGGCUUAUAAGAGUAUAAAUCUUGAAAAAGGCAAAAAAGGAGGAUGUAAAGCAAAAUAUGGUAUUCGUAAAGGCGAGGGCGGAACGUUAAAAGGGAAGGAAGCAGAAAAGAUGGAAGUGUAAGUGGUAGGGAUGGGUUUACGAUGCGGAUUCAUAAUCCGCUUCUUUACCGAAAAACCCACCCUAACUUUCACCCUCGCACCAUUCCGAGACGUGGCACUUCCAAAGAUGGCUGCCAUGGCAGGAGGUCAGCGGGUGUGCGCUUAGACCACGCCCUACGACGCGUCGCAGGCAAACCAAACGAAGCUUUCUAAAGGCGAUUAGUUCGCGGUGGAUCCGAGUGGAGGCCGUGCGAAGCGAAGCCGACGAUGUUGACGCGUCAAGGGCGCUUCAAGGACGAAGAGCGCUCCUCUUUUAGGAAGGACGCGCGCGCACACGCCCGCAAUCUUUCUCUGUCUCUCUCUUUCUCCCCUCCUCACUCUUUCUGUCUCCCUUCUUCCCGGAAAUCUUCUUCCCUUUCUAUCGUCCGCCAUUCUUCUAGGGUCCCUAGAGGCAACGCCGCACCCUACAGCCUUUCUUCUGUAUUCCAAAAAUAUCGACGUGACUUUCAAACGCCAAAAUUCAACUAAUUUUGUACUUUUCUCUUCUUCUUUUCUUUCUUUCUUUCUUUCUUUCUUUCGUUAUUUCUUUUCUUAUACUUUUAAGGAAUAUCCUUACAACGUUUCAUUCGACGAUCAAUUUGUAUCUACAUAGAAAUGUUGAGAAAACAAUUCUAUAUUUAUCUUCUAUUAAAUACAUAUAAAUAAUAGAUGUAACAGAAUCAAUGAGAUAAGUGAUUUAAUCGUUCAUUGCGCAUUUGGCAACUCUCCCUUAUUUCUUAUAAUACUUGACGCAAGGAUCAAAGGUUUAAUCUAAACAUUUUAGACACGAUAACAAUAUGAUAAUUAUUAUUGGGUCUUAAUAAUUUAUUGGAAUGCAUAUGAGAGACAUUGAAAUGUAUACAUAAAUUAUCUAACAAAGUAAGAAAGUUAUUCAAACAAUAUAUAAUUAUAUGUGUAUAUUGUAACGCACGCUUCUCUCUUUCUUUCUCGGUUUCUCUCUCUUGACCACCCUUUUGAUAAAACCAAAUGUAUAUGACGUAUAUGACGCAGAAACGAGCAUGUUUCCAACUAAUCUAUUAACUCGGUGACGCCUCUGAUCAUUAUUUCACACGCACGUUUCUCUUCAUACACCUCGCCUCGCCCCGAUGAAAUCAUCCUAUUCGGAUCUUGCAAACGAUUAAUCCUCGUGGCAUAAUUUUUCGAAGUCAAGGAAGAAGCUCUUAACGUGAUCAUAAAUAAUUACGAUGAAUAUCAUUUCUGUGUAUCACUGUAUGAAAUAUUUUACAAAUCAGUAUAAAAGCGAUAGUUUUCUUUGUUGUAGAAAACGAAGAAAGUUUCGUUCAGCAGUCAUAAAUAAUUACUCCAUAAUAUAUAUAUAUAUAUAUAUAUUUCCAAUUUAACGUUUUGAUCGUCAAAAUAAUUUUACAUAAAUCAAUAUCAACCUAUCAUUAAUUAAAAUGUUAUCAAUAGAUAGUUAUACAAAUGUCACUAUUGAAUAGAUUAACAUUUCCUUUGAUGGGAAACAAUGGAAAUGGAUGAUAUGGUGAAACGAUAUUAGGAUUACUCAAUUAUAUCGAUGACAUAUUUGAACUAUUAACGGCAGUUUGUGAAAAAUAAGUACUACGAAAUCCGAUCAAAGAGAGAGAGGGAGAGAGAGAGAGAGAAACGAAUGUUGCCACGAGCCGUGAGAAGCAUGGCGCUUUUAGAAGGGGCCGGGGUGAUGCUGCGAAGAAGGAAGAGGCAAAAGAUAGGUAGGUGGAGGUGGAGGAGGAGGAAGAAGAAGAAGAAGAGGAGAGGGUAGAAGAAGAGGAUAAAGAAGAAGAAAUAGAAGAAGGAGGAGAAAGAGGAGGAGGAGAAGCAGAGGAUGGUAUUUCCGCUGUUGCAUUGCCUAUCCAUUUGGCAGGUUUGGCUGAGGGCAUGCGCACAACAUGUGCCCACCUACCUACUUACCUAUCUGGCCGCUCGUUUCUCGACCGCUUACCUGCUCGCUUGCCUGCCUUCUUUCCUGCCUGCUUACUUGCCUGCCUGCCUGCCUGCCUGCCUGCCUGCCUGCCUGUCUGCUUGCUUGCUUGCUUACUUGCUUGCUUGCUUGCUUGCUUGGCCGCUUGCUUGACUGCUCGCCUGCCUACCGGUUUGCCUUGAUCCCUUGAAUAGCCACACACAUAUACAUACACAUAUACAGUAGGUGGGUUGGUAGGUAGGUAGGUAGGUACGUCUUUCUUACGUAAGCGCCCGUGAGAGAGCGAGUUAUUACCACAGGGACGUCAAUAUGAAAGAGAGAUAGAGAGAGAGAGAGAGAGAGAGAGGCGGAGAGAGGAAGAGAGGGAGAGAGAGAGACCAACGGAUCCGGUACAAGGGACGUUCGAAUUUGACCCGUAGAUCGACUCGUUUUUAACCCUUCGUCAUCAUCAUGAUCUCUUGUCUUUUUUCCCUCCCCCCUCGCCACCCUUUUCUAUUUUUCUUUUCUUUUCGUUUCAUUUUUUUUCCUUUCCUUAUUCUUCACAGAAAGGAUCUCCAAUUAUAUUUUUCAAAUUGUUUUUUUUUUCUUUUUCUUUUUCUUUUUUCUUGUAGGUAUUACGUCAGAGUUAUACUCUAUAGUUAUGUAAAUUUAUUGAAAAUAUGCAGAUAUGGUGAGUUCGUUCAAUUGAUCAGGAUACGUGCGGUUAACAAUACGACGACGGAGUACGGAUACAACGAGUAUUACUAUUUUGCUCGUGCGUUUUUCUUUUUAUCUUCUAUUUUUUUUUGUCCUUUUUUUUAUUUUCUUUUUUUUUCGGACUUUUUUUUUCUAUCUUGACUAAACUUAUUACGGAAGCGCAGCUGGCGGCGUCGGGCUGCAUUGUAAAUUUAUCACCGAAACAUGCCUCUGGGGAAUUUCGUUUGUAACAGGACACAAAUCGUUGCGAAGGUAAUACACUGAUGAAAAUGAGAUUCUACGGAUAAAAUAUUUUAAUCUAGUAAUUUUUAUUUAUACGAUUAAUUUCUUUUGGGAUUAGAACAUUUGGCUUUAAAGAGUUUAAUAAAAUUUUAAUUUUUGAUUUGCUAAAUUUGAAUCGUUGACUAGGGGAAUUCAUAAACUAAAUUCGUCUGGAUCAUAUCAUCGUAUUAGAUUUUAACUUUACGACGUAACACUUUAACCUACUCCUCAGCGAUACCGUUUUACGAUCACUGAAACAAUAAUCGAAGAUUCGUUCGUAGUAAUCGAUGUUAAAACAACAAAAAUUACUUUCGAAGAAAGUAGUCGUAUAAGUUAAAAACAGACAAUUUCCUAUAGAAAGAUCUCUAGAAAGAUCUCUAAGAAGUUUUACAUCAAACGCUAUUAUAUUAUAUCUAACGAUAUAAUAUAUGAGUAUAAGAUCUCUCGUAUGCUUUUACGAUUUCGUGUUAAAUAUUGUAGAUGUAUUACUCGCUUAACGACAGAAUUUGAAAAAAAAAAAAAAGAAAAGAAAAAAGGAAAAAAGGAAGAAUUCUUUUUUAUUAAAUUUUAAAAUGAGCAGAGAAUAUAUCUCGAAUUUGAUGACACGUUAGUUAUAUUUGAACGAUCGAUCCAAGAUGGGAAAAGGAAAUAAGAAAAUUCAACAAAGAAACGUUGAAACUUCGUAGUACUUUGGAAGAUAUCAUGCGAAUCUUCUUAUUCAACAUAAUUGUCUCUCUCUCUCUCUUUCUCUUUCUCUCGUAUAUAUAUGUAUAUGUAUGUAUAUAUACAUACACACGUAUGAAGAUGCAAACCGAAAGCAAAACUUACGAAGCAGUGCUUUCGUAGAUGCAGUGGCCCAGUUUGUAGAGAGCUACUACGAAGGCAGUCUCUGUUGGAGAGUGGGCGGGGAGGAUUCGUAUCUGUGUCACAGCACACGCGCUCUGUAAUCGGAACUUUUCAUCGCCGGCGUUCUCUGUGUUCUUGGCCCGUUUGCACUUUGCACGAACGGAGAUCGUUCAAAUGGAAGAUUCAGAGUCGUGCUUAGAUCAUCGCCAAUACACAUCAUUAUGAUAGAAGAUAGAAAAACGAGUUAAGAAAUCUUUUAUACAAAUCUCUGUCUAUCUAUCUCUCUUUCUCUCUCUCUCUUUUUUUUACUUGAAUUUUAUUUGAAAUAUUAUGUCGGAAAUGAUUAUUCCGAAUUUUGUAUUCUAUCAUUGAAAUAAUCAUACCGGCACGAUGAUUUCGAUCAACGAAAGGAUAUUACGAAACAACGAAGGAAUAGUUAGAAACAGCAGGAAACGUGAGAAGAGUGUCGAGUCCGAGGUAAAACGAACCGUAACUUCUUACGUGAAUGCAAAUUCGUUAAAUAAGCAUACUUCGUAAGGAGUCGGAGCGAAAACUCGUUUUCAAGCUUACUCUUCCCAAACGGAAUAACGUUGAACAUUUAACGCACUUAUAUACGUAUAUGUAUAUAUAUAUAUGUAUGUAUGUAUAUAUAUAGGUAGAUAGAAGUAUUAUUAUCGCGUGACAUCUUGGUUCAUUCGAAAAAUACAGCUGUCUCUCUGAUAUAAUACCUAUAAGAGAGAACGUUUAGAUUGGAAUAUAUACUCACAAUAUAUGAAUACUUUCACCUCGAUACGAGCUGGUUCUUAUUGAUCGUCACAAAGUGGUAGAACCUGCAUUCGUUAUGUCGAAAUCGAACUUCUUGUCCAAUGAGAGAGAGAGAGAGAGAGAGAGAGAGAGAGAGAGAGAGAGAGAGAAAGACCCGUUAGACGACAGAGUAUAAUAUAGAGAGAAAACCGAUAGAGAACGCAAGAGCCAUACGGUUUCUAUCACACCCUUACUCUCUAUGCAUCUUCUAUCUUGUAGAUUUAUUGGACAUUUUACAGAACACCGUGCAUGAACACCUAAUCGACUUAGAUUUUCUAUCCUAUUUAUCGUUAGAAUAACGUAAAUAUAUGAAAGGGAUAAGUAAUAAGUAAUACAUAUUAUUAUAGGUAUCUACUUGCAUAUAUAUAUAUAUAUAUAUAUAUUAGAUUCUAUCUGUAAGAGUUUCAAUAAUAAUCAACAACAUAAUAGACUUUAAUCUUUAUCUUUGUAUAAUUCUUCGUUAAGCGAGUCGAUAUUUACGACACACUUUUAACAUUUCAUCAACGUCGAUGUAGAAACUAGGAGUAUCAUCGAGAAGAGACCAAAGAUGACGACGAUUCGCAUGAAUUACCGAGAUGUCUACCUUUGUCGGCGAACAAUACGAUCGUGUCAACCUAACGUUAUGUUUCGAACAAAAGCUCUGCUUGCAAAGUGCUCUCUCUUUCUCUCUCUCUCUCUCUCUCACUCUCUCUCACUCUUUCAGUGUUAUGUGCGAAUAUGUAUGCGUCUAUGUCUAUGUGUGCCAUUUUACUUAUACCAUACGUGGCGCAGGCGCUAGAAAUACGCGAAUACUUUCAUAGUUAUGCGUCUGCAGCAACGUAAUCGGGAUGUUUCGUGCUGCACACAUGCGCACACAUAUAUACACACAUACACAUAUAUAUUUGCUGUCCUACAUUUAGUGACUAUAACCACCAAGCCACGGUAUUAUGAACUAGGCCGGAUGACUCCCUCGCGAUUCUAUGCACGCGAAAUUGCAAUUCCACGUCCAAGCAUUGUCUGCUUGGCCUCAACACAACUAAGUUUAAUAAGAAAUUUCGCACGUUGCUUUUUUUUUUCAUUAGUUCAUUAUAUAAUUUUUGCUUAUCAAAAUUGUCAAAGAGAAAAAUGAUAUAAACAGAGAAUUACUAAAAAUAUUUUCUUAAAAUGAUAUUCGUCGAAGGACGAUUUAAUCUUAUGUUAUUUUUCUUUUUUUCUUUUACACUUCGAAUAUUAUUAUAUCGUCGUAUUUGUCAUUUAUCAGAAUGAAAAAAAGAGAAAAGAAAAAAACGGAAAACAAAGAAAAAAGAAAAAGAAGAGAAAAGAUAUAAAAAUUGGGAACGUCGCCGGCCAUUUUGGUUUCCACGAGUAUAAGUAUCCAUAUCCUGUCUUAAAACGGUACUCGUGGAUGGACAUUUAAUCGUAUACGUUACCGUUACAUCAUGAGGGUAACGUUACGUUAUGAAACAGUGAAAAAAAAAAAGAAAGAAGAAAAAAACAAGAAAAAGAUAGACAUCAAGGGAAGUCAAUGUCAAGGGACAUGUUUUGUUAAUGAAA
This is a long non-coding RNA of Vespa crabro (European hornet), 11332 nucleotides long. RefSeq lists it as uncharacterized. The record is from RefSeq and is a predicted model, not a curated record. NCBI's taxonomy places the organism in Eukaryota, Metazoa, Arthropoda, Insecta, Hymenoptera, Vespidae. The transcript has 2 exons.